UACGUAGGAUGCAAGCGUUGUCCGGAAUUAUUGGGCGUAAAGAGCUCGUAGGCGGUCUGUUACGUCUGCUGUGAAAACCCAGGGCUUAACCCUGGGCUUGCAGUGGAUACGGGCAGACUAGAGGCAGGUAGGGGAGAAUGGAAUUCCCGGUGUAGCGGUGAAAUGCGCAGAUAUCGGGAGGAACACCGGUGGCGAAGGCGGUUCUCUGGGCCUGACCUGACGCUGAGGAGCGAAAGCGUGGGGAGCGAACAGG
RNAcentral lists this ribosomal RNA (253 nucleotides) under uncultured bacterium. Its description in RNAcentral is "partial 16S ribosomal RNA". It matches the Rfam family "Bacterial small subunit ribosomal RNA", at positions 524 to 776 of the family's 1533-position model. The record is from RNAcentral.